Molecule: transfer RNA, 119 nt
Filed under: archaeon
Lineage: Archaea
Description: tRNA-Arg
Rfam family: tRNA
About the family: Transfer RNA (tRNA) molecules are approximately 80 nucleotides in length. Their secondary structure includes four short double-helical elements and three loops (D, anti-codon, and T loops).
Source: RNAcentral
GGACCCGUAGCCUAGACUGGAUACCUAUAAUUCUCUCCAAAAGAGAGAAUUAGGCGUGAGCCAAAUAGGGCGACAGCCUCCUAAGCUGUAGGUCGGGGGUUCAAAUCCUCCCGGGUCCG